RNAcentral lists this ribosomal RNA (301 nucleotides) under uncultured bacterium. Its description in RNAcentral is "partial 16S ribosomal RNA". It matches the Rfam family "Bacterial small subunit ribosomal RNA", at positions 509 to 807 of the family's 1533-position model. The record is from RNAcentral.
CAGCCGCCGCGGGAAUACGGAGGGGGCUAGCGUUGUUCGGAAUUACUGGGCGUAAAGCGCACGUAGGCGGCUUGGUAAGUUAGAGGUGAAAGCCCGGAGCUCAACUCCGGAAUUGCCUUUAAGACUGCCGAGCUAGUAGGUGAGAGAGGUAAGUGGAAUUCCGAGUGUAGAGGUGAAAUUCGUAGAUAUUCGGAAGAACGCCCGUGGCGAAAGCGGGCUCCUGGACCCCACCUGACGCUGAGACGCGAAAGCCAGGGGAGCGAACGGGAUUAGAUACCCCCGUAGUCCCUGUCUCUUAUAC